UACGUAGGGUGCGAGCGUUGUCCGGAAUUAUUGGGCGUAAAGGGCUCGUAGGCGGUUUGUCGCGUCGGGAGUGAAAUCCACUGGCUUAACUGGUGGUUUGCUUUCGAUACGGGCAGACUGGAGGUAUGCAGGGGAGAACGGAAUUCCUGGUGUAGCGGUGAAAUGCGCAGAUAUCAGGAGGAACACCGGUGGCGAAGGCGGUUCUCUGGGCAUGUCCUGACGCUGAGGAGCGAAAGUGUGGGGAGCGAACAGG
RNAcentral lists this ribosomal RNA (253 nucleotides) under uncultured bacterium. RNAcentral describes it as "partial 16S ribosomal RNA". It matches the Rfam family "Bacterial small subunit ribosomal RNA", at positions 524 to 776 of the family's 1533-position model. The record is from RNAcentral.